GGGAGGUUUGGCACCUCGAUGUCGGCUCGUCUCAUCCUGGGGCUGAAUUAGGUCCCAAGGGUUGGGCUGUUCGCCCAUUAAAGAGGCACGCGAGCUGGGUUCAGAACGUCGUGAGACAGUUCGGUCCCUAUCCGCUGUGGGCGCAGGAAAUUUGAGGAGAGCUGUCCUUAGUACGAGAGGACCGGGAUGGACACACCUCUGGUGUAUCAGUUGUCAUGCCAAUGGCACGGCUGAGUAGCUAAGUGUGGAAAGGAUAAGCGCUGAAGGCAUCUAAGCGCGAAGCCUCCUCCAAGAUAAGAUUUCCCAUCCAUUUAUGGAGUAAGACCCCUCGUAGACUAUGAGGUUGAUAGGCCUAAGGUGUAAGCGCAGUAAUGUGUUAAGCUAAUAGGUACUAAUAGGUCGAGGACUUAACCAAA
Molecule: ribosomal RNA, 416 nt
Filed under: Aestuariibacter sp.
Lineage: Bacteria; Pseudomonadati; Pseudomonadota; Gammaproteobacteria; Alteromonadales; Alteromonadaceae
Description: partial 23S ribosomal RNA
Rfam family: Bacterial large subunit ribosomal RNA
Source: RNAcentral